This 255-nucleotide ribosomal RNA is filed under the name uncultured bacterium. RNAcentral describes it as "partial 16S ribosomal RNA". It matches the Rfam family "Bacterial small subunit ribosomal RNA", at positions 524 to 776 of the family's 1533-position model. The record is from RNAcentral.
UACGAAGGGGGGCUAGCGUUGCUCGGAAUCACUGGGCGUAAAGGGUGCGUAGGCGGGUCUUUAAGUCAGGGGGUGAAAUCCUGGAGCUCAACUCCAGAACUGCCUUUGAUACUGGAGAUCUUGAGUUCGGGAGAGGUGAGUGGAACUGCGAGUGUAGAGGUGAAAUUCGUAGAUAUUCGCAAGAACACCAGUGGCGAAGGCGGCUCACUGGCCCGAUACUGACGCUGAGGCACGAAAGCGUGGGGAGCAAACAGG